Molecule: long non-coding RNA, 3270 nt
Organism: Heterocephalus glaber (naked mole-rat)
Lineage: Eukaryota; Metazoa; Chordata; Mammalia; Rodentia; Bathyergidae
Source: Ensembl
ACUGCACAUUCCAGCCACUCUCAGAGGUUCUCACUGUGUGUUAGUCCCCAAAACAAGACCUGUGGGAACAUUGCAUGGACACCACAGUGGACAUCAAAAUGCAGAAGGGACCAAGAAUAUUUCAGAAUAAUACGAGUUAAUUCCAUGUAAGGCUGUCACUGCAUCUCCUGAGACCCUAGGAGUUGACCCGAGGGCUGCAGAACCAGAGAUAGGGGCGCAGCUACUGGAAGCAUGUCCCCACACUAUGACUAUAACUGGAGGAACCCAAAGGUUGCUCUUCAUACCUCUUCUUUGCCCCCGUGUCAUCCAGAGUCACUGCAGAGGCUGCCUGGCAGGAGUCCCUCAAGUGGAUCCAACUGCCACUAAUAACAAAAAGCUCUGUAACCUAGCAAGGCCUGGUGUCCAAUGGGGGACUGACAACUGCAGCAGAGACUGCUUGGGGCCAGAAGACAAAAGGAGAGGUCCUGUCCCAGGAGACUGUGGGAAAGGCAACCAGAAAGGAGGGAGCUGGAGAAUGAGUACUUCGUCUCAUGUGUCUACCUUCACCUCUUGAGCAUCUCUGCAACUAAUAGAGGACAAGGGACCCAUCAAUGUCUAUGCCAGCCACCCCUGGAGCUGAGAACAAAUUUAGAAGAUACCAAAUGUCCUGACCACACAUAUCAUUGUCCUCUAUUUCCUGUUGUCAUUUUCCCCUUACAAUCUUCCCUACAAGAGACAACGCAUCUGUAACAUAAAACCAACUACAGAUCUAAAUUCCAUCACUGGAAAUUCUAUGGUUAGAGCAUUCUCCCCAUUUAAGCUGAGUAACAGUAGCUCAUUUCCAGGAUUUCCUAACCAAGAACAUCACAGCCCUCAGGCUCAUGAUUAGGCUACCAGACCUCCAAGCUGCAGCCACCUGUUCUGAUGGGCACAGCACCCAGGUGUUCUCUCCAAGCUUCAUCUGCAGUGUCCAUAGGGAACAGCCUUGCGGUCUGCACAGAAAGGUGUUUAGUUGUUCAAGGAAUCCAGUAAAAAAAGAUCUAUGGCUCCUGUCAAGAAUUCAAAACCAGUGGCCCUCUGUCCUCUUUGGACCAGUCAACCCUCAGAGAUAAGAGUGGCCCUGAGGUGCCAAGACAGCUUUCACACUCAACAGAGCUUUGGGCAGGAAGUUGUCUGAAAAGCCAGCAGGUAAAUCAUACACUGCGCACCACAAUUACCGAGGCCAGCCCAAAGAAGAGUUUAACAAGCAAAUGUAGGAAACAGGCAGAGACUCCCAGCCACUAUCUAGCUCUUCUGCUGAUGCCUAAGGAGAUUAGAAUGGCAACUUCCCCAGGCUUUUGUUUUAGUCUUUUGCUUAAUAUUAUAAUCACUUUUAUUGAGGCAUGAUUUCUAUGCAUGUAAAUUCAAUAAUUUUAAAUGUGAAGUUCAAUGAAUUUGACAAACAUAUGCCAUUAUUUAACCACUACCACACUCAAGAUACAGAAGAGCUCCAUUCUCAAAAAUAGUUCUCUCUCAUCCCCUUUGCUGUGAAUCCUCCCCUACCCAACCCCCUCCACCUAGGCUUUAUCUCAUCAUAACUUUGCCUUUUCCAGAAUUCCAUAUAAUUGGAAUAAUUAAGUAUGCAGUCAUUAUAGUUUUUGUUCAUUGAAAAUAACAGUACUGAGAUUCAUUCACACAGGUAUACGAGUACAUCUUCUUAAUGUGUAGCUGAGGGGUCCUCAACUUCCAGGCCACAGAGAAGUGCCAGUCUGUGGCCUGUUGUGGUGAGUGAGCAAGUGAAGCUUAAUAUGUAUUUACAGCUGUUCCUCCUCACUAACAUUACCACCUGAGCUCCACUUCCUGUCAGAUCAACAGCAGCAUUAGAUCCUUAUAGGAGCACAAAACUUACUGUGAACUGAACAUACAAGGGAUCUAAGUUGUGUGCUUUUUAUGAGAAUCUAAUGUGGGAUGAUUUGAGGUGGAGCUGAGGCAGUGAUACUAGCACUAAGAAAUGGCUACAAAUACAGAUUAACAUUAGCAGAGAGGUGUAACCGCACAAAGACUAUAAUAAAUCAAGUGUGUGCAGACUCAUAUCAAAACCCUAUCAGUAAGUAACAAGUGACAACUAAACUGCAUCUCAUGGAAGGCUCUCUAGUCUGCCAACAAGCUUUAAGUCAAAAUGUGACACUUACUUGAGUCUGCAGGUGGCUUUCCUAUUAUUUAAUUUACCUCUGCCAAUCAUGUCUCCGUCCCAUACUGCACUUUUGUCUCCAUCACAGUUUUGGUAAGCCCAUAAGCUAACCCUAGCCAAAAUGAGUAAAAAACAAAAAUCACUGGAAAGCUUCCAUGAAAAGGGUGGGAAGACUCAAUGAUGAGAUACCAGAAGACUCUAAGAAUACCAACAAGAAGAAAGUGACAUUUAAAAGAAAAUGCCAAGAGUACUACUUAAUUAUGGGUUCAUUGUAAAAUGUGAUGUACAUUCUCCAAACCUGCUUUGUACAGUAUGUGGCAACCAGCUAUUUAACAGAGCCGUGACCUUCAAAACUGCUCCAUGACAUGGAGACCAAGUACCUUGCAUUAAAAGACAAGCCUUUGGGUUUUUUCUGAAAAAAUAUAUGAACACAAAGAACACAGGCAGGUAUUAAAGUCUAUCAUUUCAUUAAAUGCGUCUAUGUUGAGAGCAUCCUUCUUAGUGGUUAACUGCAGUGCUAAAACUAAGAAUCCCUUUAUUAUUGGUGAACAGUUGAUCCUGCCUGCUCCUAAGGACAUUUGUCAUGAAAUUUUAGGAGAGGCUGUAGUUCAAAAGGUAGCAUUUGUUUCUCUUUUGGUUAACACCAUAACUAGAUUGAUAAAUUAAUUGAUAAAACAGCAGAGGACAUUGAGGCACAAUUGUUAGAAUGCUUUAAUGAGUUACUAAGGUAUGCAAACAAGGUUGACAACAAUACUCAUUUUUGUGUGAUAUAUUUUUCAUGAAAAUGUGCAUGAGGAUAUGUCAUGUACAGUUUUGUUGUCAACCAACACCACAGAUACAGAAUUAUUCAAGUCUUUGAAUGAUUACAUAUCAGAAACACUGAAUUGGUUGUGGAUGCACAGCUGCCAUGACUGGAUAGCUUUCUUGUUUCACUACUCAGGUCAAAGAGGGUAACUUCUGAAUGUGAAACUAUGUACUUUUUAUUUACAGAGAAAUGCUAUCUAGCAAAGAAAAUGUCACCUGAACUUAACAACAUUUUCUAAGAUAUGAUUAAAAUUAACCACAUGAAAGCACAUGCCCUCAAUUGAUAUCACAGCUCUGUGAGGAGGUGGACACAGAAC